CCAGCACAGAACCUGACCUCUGAUCUGCACACAGAGACAAAAAAAAACUGCAGUGGCCCAGAACAUCUGGUCAACCUUGUGAAAGUGGUCCAUGGAAACCAUGCUGCUUGCCGAUGUCUGCAGGCCUUUGGAAGACUAAUAUCUCUAGCCAGGUUAAUUUGUAAAUCCUCUUGGAAAGUAAUGAGCAUGAAAUUGCACAUUUCCUGCCUCUGGCAUUCCUAUUGUUAAUGUGUCUGAAUCACAAAUGAUAACUCCUCUGCUUCUUAAUGUUUCCAGCAAGGACAGUUGCAACAGAGUCAUGGUAGUAGUGAACUGCCUCAUCAUCAAAGAAUCAACAAUUCUAGAGGACUGGACUCUACCCAGGAGGCCCAUUUUCAUUACCACAUCAGAUCCUAGUUUAACACCUUAAAAUAUAAAUUCAGUUACAGCUUCCACUUUCUCUGUAUGUAGGGAGGGAUAUAAGCUUUAACCUUUAUUUUACCUGUUAGAUUAUGACAGCUGACAUCCUCAGUAUAUCACACUGUUAAAUACUCAUAGAGUCAACAAUUCUUAGCAUUAGAAUGACAGAUGACAACUAAGAAUAACCUCAGGGUAGCUAGGAUGGGCUAUUUAAAACAACAUUUUAUAUUUAUGUUUAAAGACUACACCAAACUUUAGCGGAGAGAAGUAGGUAGUUUAUAUGGGUAUUAUCAGGGUUGACCAUAUCUAAGCAUUCUUGAAGGAUCAUGGAAUCAGUAUUUGAUUUUAUGUUGUAAGAAGUAAAGCUAUGUAGUAGGAAUUAUAGAUACAAGUAAGAAAUUUGAAGAAAUUAAGUUUUCCUCAAUUUCUUUAACCAAUGUAUAUUGUCAUAUACAACAUAAGAGUUCACUUUCUUAUACAUUGAUCACAGUUUAACCUGAAAUAAAUUUGGGAAAAAAUUUAAAAUAGGACAUAAAUUUUCUUGAAAUAAUUAAUAAAACAAAAUAUUAAAAAUGUCUUCAUGGAGAUCAUUUAAAGUUGGGUUCAAAAGAUUGAAUUUUGUUGUAAAGAUGACUUUGAUAUCAAACAAGGGAUAUAACAU
Molecule: long non-coding RNA, 1060 nt
Filed under: Marmota monax (woodchuck)
Lineage: Eukaryota; Metazoa; Chordata; Mammalia; Rodentia; Sciuridae
Source: RNAcentral